UACAGAGGUCUCAAGCGUUAUCCGGAUUUAUUGGGUUUAAAGGGUGCGUAGGCGGAUUAUUAAGUCAGUGGUGAAAGCCUACAGCUUAACUGUAGAAUUGCCAUUGAUACUGAUGAUCUUGAGUAUGAUUGAGGUGGGCGGAAUGUGUCAUGUAGCGGUGAAAUGCUUAGAUAUGACACAGAACACCGAUUGCGAAGGCAGCUCACUAAGUCAUAACUGACGCUGAUGCACGAAAGCGUGGGGAGCAAACAGG
RNAcentral lists this ribosomal RNA (253 nucleotides) under uncultured bacterium. RNAcentral describes it as "partial 16S ribosomal RNA". It matches the Rfam family "Bacterial small subunit ribosomal RNA", at positions 524 to 776 of the family's 1533-position model. The record is from RNAcentral.